UGUCCAAGGCAUGGAGGGGGACAUAUAGACAAACAAAUCUGCUCACUCCACAUUUUCACAAAGUCAUUUCAACAUUCAAAGUUAGAAGAAGUAGAGUGUAGAGAGAAGGAGCUCACGGCUAAGAGCUAGCCAAGAGUAGUGAGUGAAUUUCAACUCCAAAAAAAUUAGUUUUCUUCCUCAAAUCAACUCCUCAUUUAGUGUACAAGAAUAUGUAGUAGUUGUUGAAACGAAACCAAGAAGUGUAGCACCUCAAUAGUGUUGAAAAUUCGUCCAAAGUGAAGAACAAGAUUGUAAGGAUAAGUGUUAUUGGGCAGCAAGUACAAGUAUAAUACGACUAAACGCUAAAGGUACAGACGCUCGUUUUGGAGAUCCGCCAGCGUAGGAUACCUAUUCAGCUAUUUUGGACUGCUCCUUUGUUUCGGAGCCUAGCUUGUGGUAUAACUCCCUUUUGUCGUAUAUGUAUGUGUUUAUUCGGGGUACGGCG
This is a long non-coding RNA of Lycium barbarum (goji berry), 484 nucleotides long. RefSeq lists it as uncharacterized. Lineage: Eukaryota; Viridiplantae; Streptophyta; Magnoliopsida; Solanales; Solanaceae. The record is from RefSeq and is a predicted model, not a curated record. The transcript has 3 exons.